AACAAAGUGCCUGAUUAAAAGGACCGCAAUGAUAAAGCGUUUAUGUUUAUUAACCUUUGUUU
This 62-nucleotide transfer RNA is filed under the name Cyamus boopis. RNAcentral's name for it is "tRNA-Ile". The record is from RNAcentral. Lineage: Eukaryota; Metazoa; Arthropoda; Malacostraca; Amphipoda; Cyamidae.